RNAcentral lists this transfer RNA (62 nucleotides) under Paracatonidia sp. SX-2018. RNAcentral describes it as "tRNA-Tyr". The record is from RNAcentral. Lineage: Eukaryota; Metazoa; Arthropoda; Insecta; Hemiptera; Achilidae.
AGUGAGGUGGCUGAAUUGAGGCAAUAAAUUGUAAAUUUAUUUAUGGUGUUUACCUCUCACUA